RNAcentral lists this unclassified non-coding RNA (1110 nucleotides) under Chelonus insularis. Its description in RNAcentral is "charged multivesicular body protein 3, transcript variant X2". The record is from RNAcentral. Lineage: Eukaryota; Metazoa; Arthropoda; Insecta; Hymenoptera; Braconidae.
CAGGGUUCUGUUGUUAGAUGUAGAUCAUAUUUUCAGAAUCUAGAUCCUUGACACGUCUGUCAAAAUCUAUGAAAUAACAAUGGGUCUUUUUGGAAAAACUCCAGAGAAAAACCCAAAAGAGCAGGUACAAGAAUGGACUCAUAAAUUAAGAAAAGAAAGCUAUCAGCUAGAUCGACAGGUUAGGGCCAUUCAACGAGAAGAAGAAAAAGUAAAGAAAUCCUUGAAGGAAGCAGCUAAAAAGGGGGACAAGGAUGUUUGUAAAAUCCUUGCCAAAGAAAUCAUCCGUGCACGAAAAGCAUGUAAUAAAAUAUACACGUCAAAGGCACACUUAAAUUCAGUUUCUUUACAAAUGAAAAAUCAACUGGCUGCAAUUAGAGUAGCAGGUUCAGUUUCUAAGUCAACUGAAGUUAUGCAAGCUAUGCAAGCUCUUAUAAAAGUACCCGAAGUAGCAGCUACGAUGAGAGAAUUGUCCAAAGAAAUGAUGAAAGCAGGAAUUAUUGAAGAAAUGCUCGAUGAAACUAUGGAUUCGAUAGAAGACUCCGAGGAAAUAGAGGAUGAAGCAGAUGAGGAAGUUGAUAAGAUUUUGUGGGAACUCACUGCUGGGCAAUUAGGUACGGCGCCUGCAAUUGUAACAGAAACCCCUGGUGCUUCAACAUCUAAAGAAGAACCUGAAGAAGCUUCUGAUACAGAAUUAGAAGAAAUGAAAAACAGGUUACAAGGUCUCCGGAGUUAAAUUGAUGAAACAAAUCAAUUGAAUAAAUUUAAUUCGUGCCUACAAUUAGUAAAUCAGACGCUUUUCCAGUAUUCAAUAACACACUUGCUUAAAGCGUUCUUUCGCACUGAUUUUAAUUACUGUAUUUAUUUUUUCUUCUAGAUCGAUUUAGAAGCUGGCUUCAUGUCUGAUAAGUAGCUGCAAUGAUUCAUUAGAAAUUAUAAUUAAUAUUUAGUAUUUAUACCAAGCAAUAAUCAACAAUUUAAAACAUUUGACAAAAACAAAAAUUAAAUACAAAUGUUAUAUUUUUUGUAACAUUUUUAUAAAUUGUCUUCACUUUAUUAUCGAUUGUAAUUUAAGAAUUGAUUUGAAUGUGUAAAUAACAAUACUUAUUAUCA